This 253-nucleotide ribosomal RNA is filed under the name uncultured bacterium. RNAcentral's name for it is "partial 16S ribosomal RNA". It matches the Rfam family "Bacterial small subunit ribosomal RNA", at positions 524 to 776 of the family's 1533-position model. The record is from RNAcentral.
UACGUAGGGUGCGAGCGUUGUCCGGAAUUACUGGGCGUAAAGAGCUCGUAGGUGGUUUGUCGCGUUGUUCGUGAAAACCGGGGGCUUAACCCUCGGCGUGCGGGGGAUACGGGCAGACUUGAGUACUGCAGGGGAGACUGGAAUUCCUGGUGUAGCGGUGGAAUGCGCAGAUAUCAGGAGGAACACCGGUGGCGAAGGCGGGUCUCUGGGCAGUAACUGACGCUGAGGAGCGAAAGCGUGGGGAGCAAACAGG